This is a non-coding RNA of Ixodes scapularis (black-legged tick), 73 nucleotides long. The record is from Rfam. Lineage: Eukaryota; Metazoa; Arthropoda; Arachnida; Ixodida; Ixodidae.
CCCUGGUUAGCUCAGUUGGUAGAGCGCUCCACUGGCAGUGGAGAGGUCCCGGGUUCAAUACCCAAACCAGGCG